GGUGAGAUGGCCGAGUGGUUAUGGCGCUGCGUUCAGGAUUUUCUGCAUCAUCUCGAUUCAGAUUUGUUAAUGCUGAACAAAUUUCGCAGUGGAGCAAUUCGCGUGGGUUCGAGUCCCACUCUCAUCA
Molecule: transfer RNA, 127 nt
Filed under: Nemania serpens
Lineage: Eukaryota; Fungi; Ascomycota; Sordariomycetes; Xylariales; Xylariaceae
Description: tRNA-Leu
Rfam family: tRNA
About the family: Transfer RNA (tRNA) molecules are approximately 80 nucleotides in length. Their secondary structure includes four short double-helical elements and three loops (D, anti-codon, and T loops).
Source: RNAcentral